UACGGGAGGCAGCAGUGGGGAAUAUUGCACAAUGGGCGCAAGCCUGAUGCAGCCAUGCCGCGUGUAUGAAAAAGGCCUUCGGGUUGUAAAGUACUUUCAGUCGUGAGGAAGGUGUUAAGGUUAAUAACCUUAGCAAUUGACGUUAGCGACAGAAGAAGCACCGGCUAACUCCGUGCCAGCAGCCGCGGUAAUACGGAGGGUGCGAGCGUUAAUCGGAAUUACUGGGCGUAAAGGGCACGCAGGCGGUUAAUUAAGUUGGAUGUGAAAUCCUCGGGCUUAACCUGGGAAUGGCAUUCAAGCUGGUUAGCUAGAGUCUUGUAGAGGGGGUAGAAUUCCAUGUGUAGCGGUGAAAUGCGUAGAGAUGUGGAGGAAUACCGGUGGCGAAGGCGGCCCCUGGACAAAGGCUGACGCUCAUGUGCGAAAGCGUGGGGAGCAAAC
This 438-nucleotide ribosomal RNA is filed under the name uncultured bacterium. RNAcentral's name for it is "bacterial SSU rRNA". It matches the Rfam family "Bacterial small subunit ribosomal RNA", at positions 340 to 773 of the family's 1533-position model. The record is from RNAcentral.